AUGCGCUUCCCUGCUAUUUCUUGGUGUGACUCUGGCUCUGGAGCUGUUUUGGCACGGUCAUCUCAGCCAAUCGCGAUGAUGGAUCAUAACGAGGACGUGAAACUUGUAUAUGCCUUUUGCACCCCAAGGAUUAAACCCACAGACGAAUUCAGUGUGAACAGAAAAUUAUACAUAGUUGAUUGUCGCCCAUGGACUAGCGCUCAGGCAAAUAAGUUAACACGUGGUGGAACAGAGUCAGCUAGUACUUAUCAAGAAGCUGAGAUUGUGUUUUUAGGAAUUCUGAAUAUCCAUGAUAUUAGAGGCAGUUUUACCGGCCUCCGGGAGUAUGUCAAUGCUUACGAAUCAAUUCAUCAAGUGGACUCCCUUUAG
Molecule: ribosomal RNA, 369 nt
Filed under: Triticum aestivum (bread wheat)
Lineage: Eukaryota; Viridiplantae; Streptophyta; Magnoliopsida; Poales; Poaceae
Description: partial small subunit ribosomal RNA
Source: RNAcentral